UACGAAGGGUGCAAGCGUUGCUCGGAAUGACUGGGCGUAAAGGGCGCGUAGGCGGUUCGUACAGUCAGACGUGAAAUUCCUGGGCUCAACCUGGGGGCUGCGUUUGAUACGUGCGGACUUGAGUGCGGAAGAGGGUCGUGGAAUUCCCAGUGUAGAGGUGAAAUUCGUAGAUAUUGGGAAGAACACCGGUGGCGAAGGCGGCGACCUGGUCCGAUACUGACGCUGAGGCGCGAAAGCGUGGGGAGCAAACAGG
RNAcentral lists this ribosomal RNA (253 nucleotides) under uncultured bacterium. RNAcentral's name for it is "partial 16S ribosomal RNA". It matches the Rfam family "Bacterial small subunit ribosomal RNA", at positions 524 to 776 of the family's 1533-position model. The record is from RNAcentral.